AGACGCGGGCACGCACGGCGCAGGCGCGCUACGGCUCAGCCCCGACAGCGCAGCGUCGCCCCCUGACGCCGGCGGGACUCGACCCGCUGCCGCGCUACGGCGGCCCGUGAGGCCCGGAUCCGGGGGGUUCAGCCGGCGUGCGCGGGAGCGGGGGGAGGAGCCCGGCCGGGCCUGGCAGCGCCGCCCCUCCGCCAGGUGCUUUCCAGGGUCAUCAUGGUGCACCUUGCUCAUCUCCUUAUGAAAAAUUAUCAUGGAGGACACGUAGCUAUCCGAUUGGCUCUUGGUGGUUGUGCCAACAGACCCUUCUUCCGUAUAGUGGCCGCAUAUAACAAGCGAGCACGGGACAGCAAGUAUUUGGAGCAAGUGGGCUGCUAUGACCCACUCCCAAAUAGCCACAAUGAAAAGCUUGUUGGCUUGAACAUCGAGAGAAUCAAACACUGGAUUGGUUGUGGAGCACAUGUCACAAAACCGGUUGAAAAACUUCUAGGUAACUCAGUGUGUUUUCCAAUCUGAACUAUUUGCUUAUUUCUCUUAAAAGACAAUAGGUUUUCCUUGGUGAUCCUCCGCAUACUUGGAGUACCAAAGACUCUUUCUUCAUUUCUUUGCAUGAAUCCUUGAGAAUAUGUAUAUAUGCAAUCACCCUUCUUUUGGCCACAGGAAAUGGGAUGUUUCAAUAGCAGCCUUGUUAGUCUGUAUCCGGAAAAAGAACGGGAGGACUUGUGGCACCUUAGAGACUAACAAAUUCAUUUGAGCAUAAGCUUUCGUGGGCUACAGCUCACUUCAUCAGAUGAAUAGAAUGGAACAUAUAGUAAGAAGAUCUAUCUACACAUACAGAGAAUCAUGAAAAGGUGGGAGUUGCCAUACAAACUGUAAGAGGCUAAUUAAGAUGAGCUAUAAUUUGUUAGUCUCUAAGGUGUCACAAGUACUCCUGUUCUUUUUGCGGAAAUGGGAACGGGUCUCAUUUAUGGAGACACUGAGCUGGCCGAGACAGCAGUAAAAGGCACUUCAAGCCACUAGAGGGUUGGUGAGAGAGACAAUUACUCUCACUUCUUAAAAGUCUCAUUAACUAUUGGAACAGUUGACCCAGGGUUGUCGUGAAUUCUCCAUCACUGACAAUUUAACUUGAGAUUGGAUGUUUUUCUGAAAUAUAUAUGCUAAGAAUUAUUUUGGGGAAGUUCUAUAGCAUGUGUUAUAUAGGAUGUCAGACGAGAUAAUCACAGCGCUCCCUUCUAGCCUUUGAAUCUGUGAGUCUAGAACAGUCAUAUUGCAACUCCAGCUAUAAACAUAAAUCAUCUUUCUCUCACGUCUUUCUGGUUUUUUCCCAUUGCAUCCUAUGACAAUCACAAAUGCAGAAAGAUUAAGGAAGAGAAGAGCCUUGAAAGCCAUAACAGCUUCUGAGGAAGAAACUCCAGGUGACUGAUAACAUCUAACUGAACUGAAUUACUCAAAAGAUUACUGUACAGACAACGAUCAGAACAGUGUGCCAACUAAAAAGGACAAUAUAUUUACUACAGGCAAAGAAAUGAUAGUGGAUGUGAAUUAUUUCAUAAGAACAUUAAAGUAUUUUGAAGCUUUAGGAGUCCUCAGACAAGGAUUCUGAUUGUCCUCAUUUGUUAAUUA
Molecule: non-coding RNA, 1620 nt
Organism: Caretta caretta (loggerhead turtle)
Lineage: Eukaryota; Metazoa; Chordata; Testudines; Cheloniidae
Source: RefSeq, a predicted model, not a curated record